UCUGAGCUGAGUUACUCCAGCUUGUGACCCAAGUGGGAGCAUCAAUGUGAUGGAACAACACCGAGACUUGCUGGGUUGGGCUGUGUCUGCAAUAUGUUGGCCUGCCCAUUCCAAGUUGAGAGUUAAGUCUGGGGAUCUUAGUGAAGGCAUAGGUCUCUUUACUCUUAGAGUGGAGGGCACAGCGUGAGGCUGGUUUCACAGAGCAGCGAGGGAUCACAGGCUGCUGCACCCACAGAUCCUAAUGGCCUGGUGAGUCUAGUUUGCUUGGACCAUCACUUUU
RNAcentral lists this signal recognition particle RNA (280 nucleotides) under Phaseolus vulgaris (common bean). RNAcentral's name for it is "SRP RNA Plant_SRP". It matches the Rfam family "Plant signal recognition particle RNA". Lineage: Eukaryota; Viridiplantae; Streptophyta; Magnoliopsida; Fabales; Fabaceae. The record is from Rfam by way of RNAcentral.